This 81-nucleotide transfer RNA is filed under the name Rhamnusium bicolor. RNAcentral's name for it is "tRNA-OTHER". The stretch from base 13 to 72 matches the Rfam family "tRNA", at positions 6 to 65 of the family's 71-position model. Rfam says of the family: Transfer RNA (tRNA) molecules are approximately 80 nucleotides in length. Their secondary structure includes four short double-helical elements and three loops (D, anti-codon, and T loops). Lineage: Eukaryota; Metazoa; Arthropoda; Insecta; Coleoptera; Cerambycidae. The record is from RNAcentral.
GUUAAGUCUGGAUAUAGCUCAGUGGUCAGAGUGUUGAACUCGUAAUUUGAAGGCCCGGGUUCGAAUCCCGUACUUUUAACU